This 603-nucleotide ribosomal RNA is filed under the name uncultured fungus. RNAcentral describes it as "eukaryotic LSU rRNA". It matches the Rfam family "Eukaryotic large subunit ribosomal RNA", at positions 23 to 641 of the family's 3401-position model. Lineage: Eukaryota; Fungi. The record is from RNAcentral.
ACCCGCUGAACUUAAGCAUAUCAAUGAGGCGGAGGAAAAGAAACCAACAGGGAUUGCCUCAGUAACGGCGAGUGAAGCGGCAACAGCUCAAAUUUGAAAUCUGGCUCCUUCGGGGUCCGAGUUGUAAUUUGUAGAGGGUGCUUCGGCUUACGGCGCGGUCUAAGUUCCUUGGAACAGGACGUCACAGAGGGUGAGAAUCCCGUACGUGGCCGCGCUCUCCGCCAUGUGAAGCCCCUUCGACGAGUCGAGUUGUUUGGGAAUGCAGCUCUAAAUGGGAGGUAAAUUUCUUCUAAAGCUAAAUAUCAGCCAGAGACCGAUAGCGCACAAGUAGAGUGAUCGAAAGAUGAAAAGCACUUUGGAAAGAGAGUUAAAAAGUACGUGAAAUUGUUGAAAGGGAAGCGCUUGCGACCAGACUUGACCGCGGAUGCUCAGCCGGCCCUCCGGCCGGUGUACUCUUCCGCGGUCAGGCCAGCAUCAGUUUGGGCGGCCGGAUAAAGGCCUCGGGAAUGUGGCUCCCCUCGGGGAGUGUUAUAGCCCGGGGUGCAAUGCGGCCCGCCCGGACUGAGGACCGCGCUUCGGCUAGGAUGCUGGCGUAAUGGUCGU